This 572-nucleotide ribosomal RNA is filed under the name uncultured beta proteobacterium. Its description in RNAcentral is "bacterial SSU rRNA". It matches the Rfam family "Bacterial small subunit ribosomal RNA", at positions 790 to 1368 of the family's 1533-position model. Lineage: Bacteria; Pseudomonadati; Pseudomonadota; Betaproteobacteria. The record is from RNAcentral.
GUAGUCCACGCCCUAAACGAUGUCAACUGGUUGUUGGACGGCUUGCUGUUCAGUAACGAAGCUAACGCGUGAAGUUGACCGCCUGGGGAGUACGGCCGCAAGGUUGAAACUCAAAGAAAUUGACGGGGACCCGCACAAGCGGUGGAUGAUGUGGUUUAAUUCGAUGCAACGCGAAAAACCUUACCUACCCUGACAUGCCUGGAAUCCUGCAGAGAUGUGGGAGUGCUCGAAAGAGAACCAGGACACAGGUGCUGCAUGGCCGUCGUCAGCUCGUGUCGUGAGAUGUUGGGUUAAGUCCCGCAACGAGCGCAACCCUUGCCAUUAGUUGCUACGAAAGGGCACUCUAAUGGGACUGCCGGUGACAAACCGGAGGAAGGUGGGGAUGACGUCAGGUCCUCAUGGCCCUUAUGGGUAGGGCUACACACGUCAUACAAUGGCCGGUACAGAGGGCUGCCAACCCGCGAGGGGGAGCUAAUCCCAGAAAACCGGUCGUAGUCCGGAUCGCAGUCUGCAACUCGACUGCGUGAAGUCGGAAUCGCUAGUAAUCGCGGAUCAGCUUGCCGCGGUGAAUA